Thamnophis elegans (Western terrestrial garter snake) is the source of this 3183-nucleotide long non-coding RNA. RefSeq lists it as uncharacterized. The transcript is spliced from 3 exons. The record is from RefSeq and is a predicted model, not a curated record. Lineage: Eukaryota; Metazoa; Chordata; Lepidosauria; Squamata; Natricidae.
AGAUGAGGUUACAAUGCAGCUAAACAAAGCAGAGGAAAUAGAUCCCUCCUGUGUACAGUGAGAUGGAAGCAAGCAAGAAGCUCUUUGACAUCAUCCAGACUGAGCAUUGGAUUACAACAAACAAGACUUACUGACAAAGGAGUAAGGAAACGCCUCCUAAACUCUAGAAAGGGCAGCUUCGUCAAUCUGCGUGUAGAAACAGAAGCAGCAAGUCUAAAGCAAGAAUACAUCUAGGAACUCUGGCUAUUUGCCAUCAUAUGCACACAUGUGGGACUGAACUGUGUCUGAUCCUUGAAUUUUAAGAGACUAACUUGUUGGCCUGAGAGCUGCUGAAGCCAUUUCUGGAUUCUGCCACAUACAAUGUUGGUGAGAUGAUGGAGACUGAGCCUGCCUAUGCUGACUUCAUCACCUGUGAUCGGACUGGUCGGAGAAAUGCUGUUCAUGUUCUUCCAGGGGAUGCAGUUGCCAUUAAGUUGGAGAACCAGCAAACACCAUGGAUAUUUCUGUUGCAGAUGAAGAAAAUCAACCAAAGGAAGCUGCUAAUGAAAAAAACCCUGGGCUGAUUCCUGAAAGGAAGAAUGAUAAUUCAACCUUCUAAUUUAGGAUGCAGAAGGUGGAAGACUAGAUAACAACACUUGAUAAUUACUCUAUAUGCUAAGAAAUCAGACUGCAACAGGAAAAUCUUUACUUACCAUUUGGAUGUCAUAGUCACUUUGUGCAGCAAUUAAUUGGUAUCGCCGAAGUUAUUUCUUUCUUUAAAGCUACAAAUAAGAUCUGUUCUGGUAACCUGACCCAGUUAGAGAGCGUUAAGCAGCUAUUUUCUGUACAGUUAAACAACAUUUCCAUAAUAUGUAUUUCAGAUUUUAUUGUAAAAGGUGCAUUUUGUUCACUUAGUAAAUUUAAACUAUUUAUUUCUAUCUCCUGUAAAUUAUUAGAUGGUUAUUGUGUUCCUCACGAUACAUAUAUAAAAUCCCACACCCGGUUGAUCUUUUAAGCUAUGAACAUGGGAAUUAUAGGAUAUAAUAUACCAGACAUUUCACCAGCAUGAAUCUCAUUAAAUAAUUGAGCUUGAUAUUGGCAACAGUGCUUGUAUAUAGCUCUAGUUCAGUUCACCUUAUUCUGUUUUAAACAAAUACUAUAGAAAUUCCUGCUAUAGAUGUCACCAAGUGAUUCAGUAUUUCUGAACAGGUACACUUAACAUUUGGUUUGCUUAGCUUUUUUUUUAAAGAAAAGGUGAUGCAGGCUAAGGCAUAAUAUUUGUUGUAUACAAUUCAGAUAACUCUGAUAUAUUUGCAUUAUCUGUUAAUAGCAAUUUCCUUUUAGGUAAAAGUAUUGAGCCAAGGUUGACUUCUGGUGACUACAUAGAUGCAUCCUUGCUGGUAUCCUUAUAAUAAUCCUUACAUUUUCCAUUGCCUUCUUCAACAGUUCCAGUAAAUAUUAUGCAAUUCUAUAAAUUUGUUUUUCAGCAAAUAAAACUGAGUAUUAUACGUUUUGCUGUUUCCUACAUUUACCUCUAUAGGCUUGCAAUUUCCUUUUCUGGUUUUAUAAUCUGACAUUAAAAAUCAAUAGAACAAAGAUUUUCAAAAUAUUCUGUGAUGCUAAGAUUGGUAUAGCAAUCUGCAGAAACAAAUACAGAAAUGUCGAAUAUGUACUAUAGAAAUAUAUAAAACCAAAGUAUUAAUCCUGUCUAUCCACAGAAUAUGCCAGAGUUUUCAAAUAACAUCAGAAUGCAGGUCUGUAUGAAGAUUAGGAAACAUAUAUUUAAUUGCGUAUACUACAAUAUGAAUUUAGCAGUAUGAAUAUUGACAACUUAAACACAAAAAUUAUCUGAAACUGGCAUAAUGUACUCCCAGGGAUGGGUGCAAAAAAAUUCAAUCCUCAACAUUUUUACCUUUGUGACUUCAAUAAAAAGAUGGAAGCAAAAGCUCAUAAUGUAAUAACAUAUAUAACCUAUAAUACAAAUUGGCAAGAAAGCUAAUGUCCUAGAAGUCAGAAAUAAAAUUCAAAGUCAACUUGUUAGGUAGAGAAAUGCACUGGAAAUAGUAUAAUUUAGUGAGAUAAAGGAAAAUUUGUAUUCAGAAAAUGCAGACCAAAUGCAGAGAUUCAGGAGCACAAUACUUGUCUGGGUAAUAUUACAUAUGAAAACUUUAGAUUACUAUUUGAAUACAAAUAGUAUGAGCCAGAAGUCUGAUGUAGCUGCAAGAAAUGCUAUUAUUUUAGGCUGUAUCCACAUAAUCAAAAUUUUUCAUUGAGGAGAAUACCACCUGAUUCCAAAUGCAUUUCUGUAAAUUUAGACAUUGUAGGAAGAUGACCAAGUUCAACUGAGGUAGCAAACAAUCAGAGUCUGAUAGCAUCUUCUCCAACUUACAAUUUUUAUUAUGUACUUUAUGUAUCUAAUAAAGUGAGCCAUGCUCAUAAAUGCUUAAGUCUUGUUAGAAAAGAUGCUAUACUGUAUAUUGCUAUGUCACAGAACAAUACUAAAAUUUUAGGCCCCUUCUAGCUUAAUGAAAGUUUUUUUUUGCUUCUUGUUUUACUAAAACAAUGAAACAUCUUAUUUUGUAGUGAAACGUAAACAAAGACUCAGACUCUACUUUUCAUUUAAUGUUUUUUAAAUUAUUUUAUUUGUAGAUUUUGGCUUGACUGUUUUUUUCUCAUAUGCCAGACAAAAAUGAAACAUACCUUUAAGUAAAAAUGGACUUUAUUUCAUUAAAUGAAGACUUAAGUUCUGCUCUUUCCUCAAAAUGAAUUCUGAAGAUAUAUUGUGUUACACAGCAAGAAUAUGGAUCACAAUAUUAAAACCAUUUACAAGCAGGAUAAUUUUUUACUGGUACUAAAAAAAUAUUAAACAAUUCUUUAUAUAAUCCUGAAUAUAGACGAUAUGCUUGUUGACAUUAAGAACUUUUUAUUUAACAUUCAUAUAAACCAGUAUUUACUGGCUUGCUGUUUUCUGAAAUACUUAGUAUGCAUAGCUAAGCCUACACCUCUGCACACAUGACACUAAUGUAAAAACUAUUCUUCAGACAAACUUUUGAUUUUAGUCACCAACAACAUGGUAUCACAAACAUGUAGGAGUUCCUUAGUAUUGAUUACGAACUUUUAAAAAAAAAUCAUUACCAAAUCAAAUCAAACCAGAACCAUUUCUAUACACAAAAUAAGUAAUAACAGUGUGAGUUUGUGUUUAGA